UUGAGAAACAGCAAUGUGAUAGAUAAAGCACUGGACUGGGAUUUUAAUCUAGGUAUUGCUGUAGAAUUUCUGCAUCAGUUUGUCCAAGAAAAUUAGCUAGAACACUUAGCCUGGCCUUUGUUAUCUGUGAAACGAAUAUGAUAAUCCCACAUUACCAGUCUGUGACAAAUCCAUGAAUACUACUUGUAUUUACUGAACAGUUUCAGAUUAUUUUUUUUCUUUUCUUCAAUUAUUUCAAAAAAUAACUUUCAAAAAAACCUGACUAAAGAUAUGAAAGCUAUUACACUACACACCUAAUAUAAAUUGGCUGACACAUGCUAAACUGUCAAAUGUCCCUGGAUGGGAAAUUAAAAUAAUUUGUUUAAAUUAUUGAACAACUGGUUGCCCAAACUAUCAUAUGUCCAAAGAUAUCUCUUACUGGCUUCGUGAUCACUGAAAAUUUUUGCAACAAUCAUAAAAAAUUAUGCAUCUUAGUUACACUCCUCAUUAUUUUUUUCAUUAAAAGGUAUGAGACUAAAAUGACACAAUUUUAUUAUUAAAACUAGAAUUUGAUUUCCAAAUAUAUUUUUUAUGCGGCAAUAAUUUUAUGGAUUGUUUUCUUGCUCAUCAUUUAAUGAGAAGCAAAAUAUUCUUCAAACUGCCACAGAAGAAAAUAACACAUACAAAAGGAUGAAGAAGGAAAUAGAACAGCACAUGCUAUAAAUUGAAUAAAAUAAAUACAAGAGUGAAAUGCUGUUGGAAGGUGGGAGAAGGCCUUAGCUGAGUUGAAACUAAAGAAAAAGAAAAAAAAAAAAAGAAAAAAGAAAAAAAGAAAUGCACAUGCACCAUUGAAAUCUGUAUCCACAGAAGAUGAUUCAUGGAUGUGGAGUGUGAGAAAUGUGUUUUCUGCUGCAAUGGGAAGAAACCAGGGUCUCCAUUUCUUCACUGCUGUCUAGGGUCUUCAUUUUUACCUGCAUGGUGUUGUUCUUGCUGUAUAUCCUCCUUUCCCUCCUAUCCCUUUCUCUGAACAGUGCUUAAUAAAUUGCAUUUAUC
Molecule: long non-coding RNA, 1032 nt
Organism: Poecile atricapillus (Black-capped chickadee)
Lineage: Eukaryota; Metazoa; Chordata; Aves; Passeriformes; Paridae
Exons: 3
Source: RefSeq, a predicted model, not a curated record